RNAcentral lists this ribosomal RNA (502 nucleotides) under Sechelleptus variabilis. RNAcentral's name for it is "partial large subunit ribosomal RNA". It matches the Rfam family "Bacterial large subunit ribosomal RNA", at positions 1819 to 2597 of the family's 2925-position model. Lineage: Eukaryota; Metazoa; Arthropoda; Diplopoda; Spirostreptida; Spirostreptidae. The record is from RNAcentral.
GGUUUUUUGGAAAAAUUAUAUAAAAAAUCUGGCCUGCCCACUGAAGAAUUGAAGGGCUGCAGUAUUUUGACUGUACAAAGGUAGCAUAAUCAUUAGCCUUUUAAUUGGGGGCUGGUAUGAAAGGUUUGACGGGGACUGACUGUCUCAAGAUUAAAAACAUAAAUUUUAUUUUUAAGGACAAGAGCUUAAAUAUAGCAAGGGGACGAGAAGACCCUAUUAAAUUUUAUUACUAAUAAGUAAUAUUUUAUUUUAAUAAACAUUUUAUUUAAGAAGUAUUUUUGCUGGGGCGGCAAGUAAGUAACUUUAUUUGGGUUUAAUAAAAUGUUUAACGUAGAUUUGAUCCACUUUGAAGUGACAAUGAGAAUAAAUUACUGUAGGGAUAACAGCGUAAUAUUUUUUGAGAGUUCAUAUUGACAAAAGUGUUUGCGACCUCGAUGUUGGAUUAAGAAGUCUUAUUGGUGCAGUUGUUGAUAAAGAGGGUCUGUUCGACCCUUAAAUUCUU